This 252-nucleotide ribosomal RNA is filed under the name uncultured bacterium. RNAcentral describes it as "partial 16S ribosomal RNA". It matches the Rfam family "Bacterial small subunit ribosomal RNA", at positions 524 to 776 of the family's 1533-position model. The record is from RNAcentral.
UACGUAGGGGGCGAGCGUUAUCCGGAUUUAUUGGGCGUAAAGCGUGUGUAGGCGGUUUGUUAAGUUUAAGAUUAAAGCCCGAGGCUUAACCUCGGUUCGUCUUAAAAACUGGCAGACUUGAGUGCAGUAGAGGCAAGUGGAAUUUCUAGUGUAGCGGUUAAAUGCGUAGAUAUUAGAAGGAACACCAGUGGCGAAGGCGGCCUGCUGGGCUGUUACUGACGCUGAGACACGAAAGCGUGGGGAGCAAAUAGG